RNAcentral lists this unclassified non-coding RNA (253 nucleotides) under uncultured Alphaproteobacteria bacterium. RNAcentral's name for it is "contains 16S-23S intergenic spacer region". It matches the Rfam family "Bacterial small subunit ribosomal RNA", at positions 524 to 776 of the family's 1533-position model. Lineage: Bacteria; Pseudomonadati; Pseudomonadota; Alphaproteobacteria. The record is from RNAcentral.
UACGGAGGGGGCUAGCGUUGUUCGGAAUUACUGGGCGUAAAGCGCACGUAGGCGGAUGUUUAAGUCAGGUGUGAAAUCCCGCAGCUUAACUGCGGAACUGCCUUUGAUACUGCAUAUCUAGAGUCCGAGAGAGGUAAGUGGAACUCAUAGUGUAGAGGUGGAAUUCGUAGAUAUUAGGAAGAACACCAGUGGCGAAGGCGGCUUACUGGCUCGGAACUGACGCUGAGGUGCGAAAGCGUGGGUAGCAAACAGG